RNAcentral lists this ribosomal RNA (465 nucleotides) under Vreelandella stevensii. RNAcentral's name for it is "partial 16S ribosomal RNA". It matches the Rfam family "Bacterial small subunit ribosomal RNA", at positions 338 to 795 of the family's 1533-position model. Lineage: Bacteria; Pseudomonadati; Pseudomonadota; Gammaproteobacteria; Oceanospirillales; Halomonadaceae. The record is from RNAcentral.
CCUACGGGAGGCUGCAGUGGGGAAUAUUGGACAAUGGGGGGAACCCUGAUCCAGCCAUGCCGCGUGUGUGAAGAAGGCCCUCGGGUUGUAAAGCACUUUCAGUGAGGAAGAACGCCUGGUGGUUAAUACCCAUCAGGAAAGACAUCACUCACAGAAGAAGCACCGGCUAACUCCGUGCCAGCAGCCGCGGUAAUACGGAGGGUGCGAGCGAUAAUCGGAAUUACUGGGCGUAAAGCGCGCGUAGGUGGCUUGAUAAGCCGGUUGUGAAAGCCCCGGGCUCAACCUGGGAACGGCAUCCGGAACUGUCAAGCUAGAGUGCAGGAGAGGAAGGUAGAAUUCCCGGUGUAGCGGUGAAAUGCGUAGAGAUCGGGAGGAAUACCAGUGGCGAAGGCGGCCUUCUGGACUGACACUGACACUGAGGUGCGAAAGCGUGGGUAGCAAACAGGAUUAGAUACCCCGGUAGUC